ACCACCAUUAAUAGAAGGAGGAAGCAAACUUCCCCUUCUCCUCUCUUGGCCGGCCACCUACUUAGAGUAGGGGCCAAGGCAGCCACCCCUCCUCAAUCCCUAUAAAUAGAGGGGAGGGGCAAAGGGAUAGGAGAGGUUUUUCCAUACCCUUGCUGCCUCCUCUCCCCCUUCCUCUCCACCACUGCUCUGGCUUAGGCGAAGCCCUGCAGGAAAUCUUCUCCACCACCACCACCACGCCGUCGUGCUAUUGGAAUUCCGAGAAGGAUCUACUACAUCCGCUGCCUGCUGGAACGGGGAGAGGACGUCUUCAUCGACACCGUACGUGUGACCGAGUACGGAGGAGCUGCCCGCUUGCAGCACUAGAAGGACUACAUCUCGAACUUGAGUUCGGCAAGAGUACGACUACAUCACCCACGAGAUCCGAUCUCGUUUCCGCUUAGCGAUCUACAAGGAAAUCCUAGUAACGAAAUAUUCUCGGAAUCGGACGAAAUCAACGCCCAGGUUCCUAUUUUUCCCGGAACCAUCCAGAACACCCGAGAGCCGCCAGAGGGGAGCCCUGGGGGCCCCACACCACACCCCGGCGCGGCCAAGGGGGGGGGGCCCUAUAGUGUGGGCCCCCCAGAACCCCUCCGACUCCGAUUCUUCGCCUAUUUAAGCCGUCGUGACCUAAAACUUCGACACCAAUUGACGAGACUCCAGAAAGACUCCAGGGGCGCCGCCGCCAUCGCGAAACUCCAAUUCGGGGGACAGAACUCUCUGUUCCGAGCACCUCGCCGGACGGGGAAUUGCCCCCGGAGCCAUCUCCACCGCCGUCUUCACCGCCAUCUUCACCGCCAUCGCUGCCUCCAUGAUGAGGAGGGAGUAAUCCACCCCCGAGGCUGAGGGCUCCGCUGUAGCUAUGUGGUUCAUCUCUCUCCCAUGUACCUCAAUACAAUAAUCUCAUGAGCUGCUUUACAUGAUUGAGAUUCAUAUGAGUUUUGUAUCACUACUAUCUAUGUGCUACUCUAGCAAUGUUAUUAAAGUAGUUUUAUUCCUCCUGCACGUGUGUAAAGGUGACAGUGUGUGCACCGUGUUAGUACUUGGUUUAUGCUAUGAUCAUGAUCUCUUGUAGAUUGCGAAGUUAACUAUUGCUAUGAUAAUAUUGAUGUGAUCUAUUCCUCCUACAUAUGCAUGAAGGUGACAGUGUGCAUGCUAUGUUAGUACUUGGUUUAGUCCUUUGAUCUAUCUUACACUAUAAGGUUACUUAAAUAUGAACAAAUUGUGGAGCUUGUUAACUCCGGCAUUGAGGGUUCGUGUAAUCCUACGCAAUGCGUUCAUCAUCCAACAAAAGUGUAGAGUAUGCAUUUAUCUAUUCUGUUAUGUGAUCAA
Molecule: non-coding RNA, 1368 nt
Organism: Lolium perenne
Lineage: Eukaryota; Viridiplantae; Streptophyta; Magnoliopsida; Poales; Poaceae
Source: RefSeq, a predicted model, not a curated record